Schizosaccharomyces pombe (fission yeast) is the source of this 1031-nucleotide non-coding RNA. The record is from the annotation of a GenBank genome assembly. NCBI's taxonomy places the organism in Eukaryota, Fungi, Ascomycota, Schizosaccharomycetes, Schizosaccharomycetales, Schizosaccharomycetaceae.
AUUCCAAAUAUGUGUAUUUUCUUGAGGUGGCUUUCGAUGAGGUUAAGGAGGAGAGGAUAUAAUAUAGAGAGGAUUGUGAGGCCUAAAGACUAAUAAUCACCUAAUGAAUUUGAGAUUUUGAGUAGAAUUGCGAGAUGUUAAGCGAAUCUCAAAAUUACGAAUCCGAAGAUAAUGUGGAUAAAACAAAUUGCAAAGAUGUCGUUCUAUUCGUCUCAGUAUAUAUAUGUGCGUAGAUCAUUAAAAAUCUGUCCACUUCUCAGUUAAUGCAAUUGAUUUCGAUUAACCAACUAUUGCGCAAUCUGCCACUCAUAUUGAAAAUUUUUACUGAUCUGCAAACGUUUAACAGCUAUUUUCCACUAGAUUAAUAAAAAAUAGCCAAUCCUCACAAGUCGCACCUUUUUCGGGGAUCGGGGGAAAUGUCGCUGAAGGUGUGAAAAUGCAAAUUUUCUCGGAUGUCAACAGUUUAAUCAGUCGCUUCAAAGUUUGUAUAUUUCUUAAUUUUGGUGAAUUUCCUCCAUAUUUCUUCACUUUGUAUGGCGGCAAUGGAGCCGUAAUGCUAAGCAAAUCGUAAUUGAGUUUGUAAUAGCUAGCAUCAGUUUAAACUCGAAUGAAUUAAGUAACCGCUUAUAUAUUCAUAAAAACUUCUAAGUAAUUGAGCUAGGUGCGUUUAUAGGGAUGAUUAUUCGCUCAGAAAAUGAUUAAAACACUGCUCAACUUGUUCACCUAUAUAUAGUUGUCGUAAACAAAGCUAAAUCGAUGAUUUAUUACAAGAAGAAAGAAUACAUGAUUUUCGGUUAAUCACAUAACAUGAACAAUAUUGAAGAAGGAAAUAGCGAUUUAUUGAGCCGCUGUUUUUUUCAUGAAUACCGGUUAACAUAGAUUUUUAAGUAUAAAUAAAAGGAUAAUGACUAGCGGUUUCAUUGUUCAUCUUUGAUUGAAUAUUGUUAAUGUCACGUACGCGUGAAAUAUAUAAAGUCGCCGAGGAAUAUGCAUAUAGUCUGCAUAUACAUUAUUUUGAGAACAUAUAUUAA